GGCUUGAUAGCUCAGUUGGUAGAGCACUGCUCUGCUAUCACAGAGGUUAUGGGUUCAAAUCUCAUUCAAGCCU
This is a non-coding RNA of Orbicella faveolata, 73 nucleotides long. The record is from the annotation of a RefSeq genome assembly. NCBI's taxonomy places the organism in Eukaryota, Metazoa, Cnidaria, Anthozoa, Scleractinia, Merulinidae.